CAACCCUCGAGCCCGACUCUUCGGAGGACGGCCCGGUGUUGGGGACCGGCAGACUGCCCCGCGCCUCCGGGCGUGGGACGCCGCCCCCGAAAUUUAGUGGCGGCCCUUCGAGGCGACCUCUGCGUAGUAACUUACCUCGCACUGGGAAAAUCGAAGCGGCCACGCCGUAAAACACCCAACUAUUUUAAGG
Molecule: unclassified non-coding RNA, 190 nt
Filed under: uncultured Simplicillium
Lineage: Eukaryota; Fungi; Ascomycota; Sordariomycetes; Hypocreales; Cordycipitaceae
Description: sequence contains ITS2
Source: RNAcentral